GCUAACUGACUGAUGUUAAAUAGCCGCAGUAUUUUAACUGUGCAAAGGUAGCAUAAUCAUUAGUCUUUUAAUUGAAGGCUUGUAUGAAUGGUUGGACGAGAUAUUAACUGUCUCAUUUUGGAAAAGUAGAAUUUUAUUUUUCAGUCAAAAAGCUGAAAUUAUUAUAAAAGACGAGAAGACCCUAUGGAUCUUUAUAUUGGUUUUAUUAUAAUUAUUUGGAUUAAUUUAAUUUUAAUAUUUACUUGUAUUUUGUUGGGGUGACAUUAAGAUUUAUUUAACUCUUAAUAUUUAUUUACAUUGAUGUAUGAAAUUAUAGUGAUCCAGUUUUAUUGAUUAAAAAAUUAAGUUACCCUAGGGAUAACAGCGUAAUUUUUCUAGAGAGUUCAUAUCGAUAGGAAAGAUUGCGACCUCGAUGUUGGAUUAAGAUUAAUAAUGGGUGUAGAAGUUCAUUAUAUUAAGUCUGUUCGACUUUUAAUUUCUUCGUGAUCUGAGUUCAGACCGG
Molecule: ribosomal RNA, 502 nt
Filed under: Brachyanax ater
Lineage: Eukaryota; Metazoa; Arthropoda; Insecta; Diptera; Bombyliidae
Description: partial 16S ribosomal RNA
Rfam family: Bacterial large subunit ribosomal RNA
Source: RNAcentral